Non-coding RNA from Coturnix japonica (Japanese quail), 612 nucleotides. NCBI's taxonomy places the organism in Eukaryota, Metazoa, Chordata, Aves, Galliformes, Phasianidae. The record is from RefSeq and is a predicted model, not a curated record.
CAAGCCUUCCCCAUUGGGAUUUCUGGAAACAAAAAAUGGAACGUUACCUACAAAUGGAAAUUUGUGCUCUGACUUCUCAACCUGAGAUCGCUUCAGAAGACUAACAGGAGCUCAGAAAGAAUGGUUUAGCAAGCACAGAUACAUCACCAGCUAAGAACGGCUUUCCAAAGACAAAGGCAAUCUCACUUCCAUGAUCUGCUUUUACAAACUCGGGUGCUAUGGUUGAGCUUGGUCGAUGCUGAAAUUCAUAGAAGUAGACUGGGUGGCCAGCAUCUAACAGAAAAUAAAAUGAAAAACAAGUGCUGAUGUUUCAAAUGCCAGCCAACAGUGAUGAUAAACUUUCACUGCACGCUGUUUUGAUAAAACGAAAACACUAUCAGUUUUUUUGAUAACAAAGUGUGAUACAUACAUAAAGACCACAGACAUGCUCAAGGAUGGAAGACAACGCUUGUUUGAGAGACUUGUUUGAAGAGAAUUAGAGACUCACCUCUAUGGUAUCUGGCCACUUCAAUGGCUGGGAAAACAAACACGUGAUCUCCUAAAGCAUCAAGAAGGCCAUCUCGCACCUGAGCACGGCUCUGUGCUUUCCCCAUGUAUUCAUUGAAUACAAGA